UCCCCAAUAGUUUGAGAGUCUUAG
RNAcentral lists this non-coding RNA (24 nucleotides) under Cricetulus griseus (Chinese hamster). Lineage: Eukaryota; Metazoa; Chordata; Mammalia; Rodentia; Cricetidae. The record is from RNAcentral.